AAGUCGUAACAAGGUUUCCGUAGGUGAACCUGCGGAAGGAUCAUUAAAGAGUAAGGGUCCUUCGGGGCCCGACCUCCCACCCUUUGUUGUCGAACAAAACACCGUUGCUUUGGCGGGACCGCCUCGCGCCCUCACCGGCGCGGGCUGCCGGGCCCAGGCCGGGUAUGCGCCCGCCAGAGUCAAACCAAACCCUAGUUUUUAACAGUAUCGUCUGAGCAAAAAUUUUGAAUUAAUCAAAACUUUCAACAACGGAUCUCUUGGUUCUG
Molecule: unclassified non-coding RNA, 266 nt
Filed under: air metagenome
Description: partial contains small subunit ribosomal RNA, internal transcribed spacer 1, and 5.8S ribosomal RNA
Rfam family: Eukaryotic small subunit ribosomal RNA (bases 1-46)
Source: RNAcentral